GACGAACGCUGGCGGCGUGCCUAACACAUGCAAGUCGAACGGAAAGACCCUGCGUUUGUGGGGUGCUCGAGUGGCGAACGGGUGAGUAACACGUGAGUAACCUGCCCUUGACUUUGGGAUAACUUCAGGAAACUGGAGCUAAUACCGGACAGGAUCUCCUGCAGCAUGGUGGGGGUUGGAAAGUUUCGGCGGUUGGGGAUGGACUCGCGGCUUAUCAGCUUGUUGGUGGGGUAGUGGCUUACCAAGGCUGUGACGGGUAGCCGGCCUGAGAGGGUGACCGGCCACCUUGGGACUGAGAGACGGCCCAGACUGCAACGGGAGGCAGCAGUGGGGAAUAUUGCACAAUGGGCGGAAGCCUGAUGCAGCAACGCUGCGUGCGGGAUGACGGCCUUCGGGUUGUAAACCGCUUUCGCCUGUGACGAAGCGUGAGUGACGGUAAUGGGUAAAGAAGCACCGGCUAACUACGUG
This 468-nucleotide ribosomal RNA is filed under the name uncultured bacterium. RNAcentral describes it as "partial 16S ribosomal RNA". It matches the Rfam family "Bacterial small subunit ribosomal RNA", at positions 28 to 507 of the family's 1533-position model. The record is from RNAcentral.